This 587-nucleotide ribosomal RNA is filed under the name Planomicrobium sp. T32602BY1. Its description in RNAcentral is "SSU rRNA". It matches the Rfam family "Bacterial small subunit ribosomal RNA", at positions 872 to 1457 of the family's 1533-position model. The record is from RNAcentral. Lineage: Bacteria; Bacillati; Bacillota; Bacilli; Caryophanales; Caryophanaceae.
CCUGGGGAGUACGGCCGCAAGGCUUAAACUCAAAGGAAUUGACGGGGGCCCGCACAAGCGGUGGAGCAUGUGGUUUAAUUUGAAGCAACGCGAAGAACCUUUCCAGGUCUUGACAUCCCGCUGCCCGCUUAGGAGACUAGGCUUUCCCUUCGGGGACAGCGGUGUCAGGUGGUGCAUGGUUGUCGUCAGCUCGUGUCGUGAGAUGUUGGGUUAAGUCCCGCAACGAGCGCAACCCUUGAUCUUAGUUGCCAGCAUUCAGUUGGGCACUUUAAGGUGGCUGCCGGUGGCAAACCGGAGGAAGGUGGGGAUGACGUCAAAUCAUCAUGCCCCUUAUGGCCUGGGGUACCCCCGUGCUACAAUGGGCGGUACAAAGGGGUGCAAACCCGCGAGGGGGAGCCAAUCCCAGAAAACCGUUUUCAGUUCGGAUUGCAGGUUGCAAAUUGCCUGCAUGAAGCUGGAAUCGGUUGUAAUUGUGGAUCAGCAUGGCACGGUGAAUACGUUUCCGGGCCUUGUACACCCCGCCCGUCACCCCCAGAGAGUUUGUAACCCCCGAAGUCGGUGAGGUAAACCUUGUGGAGCCAGCCUCC